Molecule: non-coding RNA, 100 nt
Organism: Pseudonaja textilis
Lineage: Eukaryota; Metazoa; Chordata; Lepidosauria; Squamata; Elapidae
Source: RefSeq, a predicted model, not a curated record
UUUGGGGGAAACAACCAAGUUAAAAACCAAGAUGAUCUUAGUUGGAUUUGAGGGAAACAACCCAGUGAGAAACUAAGACAAUCUUAGCUGGAUUGGAGGG